Sycon ciliatum is the source of this 458-nucleotide long non-coding RNA. RefSeq lists it as uncharacterized. The record is from RefSeq and is a predicted model, not a curated record. The transcript is spliced from 3 exons. Lineage: Eukaryota; Metazoa; Porifera; Calcarea; Leucosolenida; Sycettidae.
UCGGAGCAUGAUCUUCUCGUUUUCAUGUCAACAGAGAACGAUAGAAGGAGCGGGUAGAUUUUGGUUCUAUUCGCGUCCUCGGGACGUUUGUCCCAGAUCAUCCUGGGAGGAUAGGUGUUGGUGAAAGGAGCGAGAACUCGGAGCUCUAUUGGAGACCUUAGCAGGCUCAUUGAACUCUGAGAUCGACUAGUAAAAAGAGCUUUAAGCCUUUGAGGACUACCACGGAUGACCUGGAUUCCUACCGAAUACGCACAGAGGCACAAAGCUAUCCCAGUGCUGUUGGCUAAUGCAAAGGCGCAGACAGUGACAAUGAACUACUUCAAGCUCUUCGUAAUUGCCGGCUGCGCAUCGGCAGCAGGUCUGGUGCUCCUUGUCACCCUGGGGUUUGUCAUGUAUAGGCGAGGGCGCAAUAGGCGACAAGCCAGAAGGAGCCAGCUGGAAAGGAUGGAAACGGCAGC